Long non-coding RNA from Mus musculus (house mouse), 1420 nucleotides. RefSeq annotates it as predicted gene, 40966. The record is from RefSeq and is a predicted model, not a curated record. The transcript is spliced from 3 exons. NCBI's taxonomy places the organism in Eukaryota, Metazoa, Chordata, Mammalia, Rodentia, Muridae.
AUAAGGGGAUUCCAGGAAAUCUUAUCUAAGGAAGGGCUGAGCGUCAGCCUGCAUGACACUAGGAUGCCCCUGUAUAGACAGACUCCCAUCUAAUGCUUUGCGGAUGGGUGAAAUUUAAUCUAAGGUAAUCGGCUUACCUUUUUUCUGUUCUUGGAUCCACUAGUCUCUUAACAGCGACAAAUACUUGUUGAUUAAUUUCUCUCUCCACCACCAUCAGAAAGCCUUCUUUUACAGGAGACGCUAUUAACACAGAGACCCUCGACUGGUCAAAGUGCAGAAGGUAAGACUGGGGAGCGCUCAGCUCUAAGUGGGUCUUCUUUAUCACAGCCCCUCCUCCCAAGGCGGAGGGUCAUAGUGGAAGAGGGGCCAGAAGGAUUAUGAAAGCCAAAGGCACCAGAUGGCUACAUCAAAUAAUGUUUUCCUGGACAGCAGCACACUUGCACAUAGGAACUGGAAGCAAUCUUGACAGCAUCCUUACGAACUGCUGCAAAAGAUCAAGCCAGACAAAAGCCCAGCGUGGGGAAGAGGCCUUUGUGUAUCCCAUACCUUGCUGAAAGGUUACUGAUGAGAGACACCGUGGCAAACCUGCAUGUGAAUUCACAUCCGUCAACCAUCACACCUGACCUCUGCACAGCAGCAAGCUGGAGUGCUCCCCGGCCUUAUUUAGUGCUUUGCUUGGUUGCUGUUUUUAAGUAUCAGUUAAUGAAUUUGACUUAAAAUUUUUAAAUGUAAUAUGCUUUGGGAGACCGAUAAGCCCCUCCAAGAGAGAAAAUGUACAGAGUGAAAGACAUGCAUUAAGACCAUCAUUUAAUACAUUUUGCUAAACACAUGCAUCUAUAUGAUCCCUUCCCCAGAAAGUUUUUUUCUUUCUCCUUUAUCGAGAUUCACUUAAUAAGUAACAGUUGUAUAGAGCUCCUUAUAUAAGACAAUAUGGUAUGGGCAUGUACCUAUAUGCAUCAACUGAUGCUUUGAAAUGCCUCUAGAUAAGCCAAGACACUGUGACUAAGCGCUGAGAUGGACUGAUCAGAGGAAGGUAAGGUAUGUGCUGACUCACAGGUUCAGGCUAUUUAGACAAAAACAUGCGAUCACGUGAUCGAGGAAACCCCAGAGAGGCAGAGAGGGGAGGAGUCAGGGGCACACCCACAGUGCUCAAGCCUGUGUACCAGACCAAUUCAUAAAGGUUCCAUCACCUCCCAUAGUGCAAAAACAGACAAAACAGACAAAGCCUCUGGGAAGCGUUGGGGAUCAAAACUGCAGCUCAGUGUAAAUGUUGUGUGAGUAGUUUCUACACAGCAUUUCUGUGCAUGCUCAGUGCAGAUGCAGCUGUGUAAAGACCUAGAAGGCAGGCUGGAGAAAUGGCUCAGUGGUUAAGAGCACUGACUGUUCUUCCAGAGAUCCUGAGUUCAAAUCCCAGCAACCA